GCGGUAGCAUGCGGAAUUCCGGUCACUUUGCCAAGGUGAGGGUCGCGGGUUCGAAUCCCGUCGUCCGCUCCA
RNAcentral lists this transfer RNA (72 nucleotides) under Actinomycetota bacterium. Its description in RNAcentral is "tRNA-Ser". The record is from RNAcentral. Lineage: Bacteria; Bacillati; Actinomycetota.